UGCCAAAGCUUAUCCAAUAAAUAACCUAAAUUGUCUAAUCUCUAUUUAAAAAAUUGAAUGUGUAAGCGAUGUACUUCCAGAAAGAAAACUUUACAGAAAAAAUAGACAAAGGUAUUACAAGAAAACAAAAUUUCAGACCUAUUUCCCUCAUGAAUAUAGAUGUAAAACCUCAAUAAAUUAUAAGCAAAUAAAAAUCCAAUAAUAUAUACAAAUAAUAAUAUAUCAUGGUUAAAGUAAGGUAUAAUGAAAUAAUUAAAAAGGCUAAUUUAACAUUCAGAUAUUUGUCAAUAUAAUUCACCAUAUCAACACACAAAAGAAAACAAAGAUAUGAUGAUUUCCAUGGAAAGA
This 348-nucleotide long non-coding RNA is filed under the name Pan troglodytes (chimpanzee). RNAcentral describes it as "long non-coding RNA NONPTRT015336". The record is from RNAcentral. Lineage: Eukaryota; Metazoa; Chordata; Mammalia; Primates; Hominidae.